This is a non-coding RNA of Cinara cedri, 518 nucleotides long. The record is from the annotation of a GenBank genome assembly. NCBI's taxonomy places the organism in Eukaryota, Metazoa, Arthropoda, Insecta, Hemiptera, Aphididae.
CAGCAUCCAAUUUAUAAUUGUACAUAUUUUUAUUAUAAGCAUAAAAAGAAAAACCAGCCUAACAAUACUAGGCUGUUACAAAAGGUAGUAGUUAGAAUAUCCUUUUCAGUUAGAGAUGGGUAUUCGUCCAAUCCAAAACUCAUUUAAAGAUCCGGAUUCAAAUGUAUGAUUAAAGGAUGACAUACUCUUGAUUUCAAUAAGGUUUUCAUUUUCGAACAAGAAUACCAUGGCAUGUUUUUUUUUGUUCACAAAAGGAUUUUUUGUAUCCAAUCAAUGUCAUUAUAAUAUCAGGAAAGUACUGAGACAAGGAUUUUCAAGAUUUUCCAAAUGUUAUUCGAUAAUGUUUUUUCUUAUGUUUUUCCAAAUAUUAUAUAAAAUAAUUUUCUCUAUUUUCACAUACAUCUGAGAUUAUUCCGCAGAACCUAAGGAUUCCGUGAAACACACUGGGAAUCACUGGUCUAGAUAUAUAAUUUUUUAUAAAGGUUAAAAUGAAUAACAGCUAAUAUUAUGUAUCUUUA